Molecule: ribosomal RNA, 253 nt
Filed under: uncultured bacterium
Lineage: Bacteria
Description: partial 16S ribosomal RNA
Rfam family: Bacterial small subunit ribosomal RNA
Source: RNAcentral
UACGUAGGGACCAAGCGUUGUUCGGAUUUACUGGGCGUAAAGGGCGCGUAGGCGGCGUGUUAAGUCACUUGUGAAAUCUCUAAGCUUAACUUAGAACGGUCAAGUGAUACUGAUGUGCUAGAGUGCAGAAGGGGCAACCGGAAUUCUUGGUGUAGCGGUGAAAUGCGUAGAUAUCAAGAGGAACACCGGUGGCGAAGGCGGCAUCCUGGACCAAUAUUGACGCUGAGGAGCGAAAGCUAGGGGAGCAAACGGG